UAAGAUCGGGUUGCGGUUUA
RNAcentral lists this non-coding RNA (20 nucleotides) under Arabidopsis thaliana (thale cress). The record is from RNAcentral. Lineage: Eukaryota; Viridiplantae; Streptophyta; Magnoliopsida; Brassicales; Brassicaceae.